CAAUUACGAACAAUGAAACAUUUUUCUUUUAAGUGAAUUUCUAUUAUAAUAGAAGUUUGUCAAGUACAUCUCAGUGAAGCAGAAAAUCUUCAGGCGAACAUUGACAUCGAAGUGAAACCCUAUGAUAUCAAGAAAAAUCCUAUGGAACAAAGAAGCAGAUAAUGAUCACAGAAGUGCAACAAAGAGCACCAGGACCUGAUCAUCAAAUGUUAUGGUGUUGAUCUAAUCAGGAACAAGACACCUAAGUUGAACUCUGGCAAGGUUGUCCCAUGCAGAAGGUUUGAUACCCAGGCUUCUUUUGUACAAGUCCCUAGUCCACCCUCAUCUUGAGAACUGUUCCGGUGUCUGGGAUCCCUACAACAUCUCAGAUGUCCAGGACGCUACUUCACAAUGGGGACCACAAGAGAAGCAGCAGUUUGACUGAGAUGAUCAGCACCUUUUAGUUGCCUACUAUAUCUACAACUACAAGGCACUCUGCAAGAAGACUGGGAAUGGUGCACAAGAUAGUCAAUGGUCUC
Molecule: long non-coding RNA, 518 nt
Organism: Strongylocentrotus purpuratus (purple sea urchin)
Lineage: Eukaryota; Metazoa; Echinodermata; Echinoidea; Camarodonta; Strongylocentrotidae
Exons: 3
Source: RefSeq, a predicted model, not a curated record